CAGGAACAGUCUUGAUUGUGGUAUCCAAACUUCUUCGGAGCUAGCUAAAUAUAAUGAAGGUGAGUACUUGGAUGAUCAGGAAAACGAACUGGAUGAGGGUGUGAGAUCCAUAGAGUUCGAGGCUACUGAAGGACAAGAAGAGAUUAUUGAUGAUGAGCAGCUCAGAAACAGCAAUGACAAUGAAGACGGGUACUUGGAAGAUCAGGAAAAUGGACCUGAUGAGGGUGCGAGAUCCAUAGAGUUCGAGGCUACUGAAGGACAAGAAGAGAUUAUUGAUGAUGAGCAGCUCAGAAACAGCAAUGACAAUGAAGACGGGUACUUGGAAGAUCAGGAAAAUGGACCUGAUGAGGGUGUGAGAUCCAUAGAGUUCGAGGCUGCUGAAGGACAAGAAGACAUUAUAGAUGAUGAGCAGCUCAGAAACAGCAAUGAUCAUGAAGACGGG
Molecule: long non-coding RNA, 442 nt
Filed under: Nicotiana tabacum (common tobacco)
Lineage: Eukaryota; Viridiplantae; Streptophyta; Magnoliopsida; Solanales; Solanaceae
Description: long non-coding RNA (NTAB_LNC001231)
Source: RNAcentral